ACUCCUACGGGAGGCAGCAGUGAGGAAUAUUGGUCAAUGGGCGAGAGCCUGAACCAGCCAAGUCGCGUGAAGGAUGACUGUCUUAUGGAUUGUAAACUUCUUUUAUACGGGAAUAACAAGAGCCACGUGUGACUCCCUGCAUGUACCGUAUGAAUAAGCAUCGGCUAACUCCGUGCCAGCAGCCGCGGUAAUACGGAGGAUGCGAGCGUUAUCCGGAUUUAUUGGGUUUAAAGGGUGCGUAGGCGGCCUGUUAAGUCAGCGGUGAAAUCUAGGAGCUUAACUCCUAAAUUGCCAUUGAUACUGGCGGGCUUGAGUGUAGAUGAGGUAGGCGGAAUGCGUGGUGUAGCGGUGGAAUGCAUAGAUAUCACGCAGAACUCCGAUUGCGAAGGCAGCUUACUAAGGUACAACUGACGCUGAAGCACGAAAGCGUGGGUAUCAAACAGGAUUAGAUACCCUGGUAGGCGUAAU
RNAcentral lists this ribosomal RNA (468 nucleotides) under uncultured bacterium. RNAcentral describes it as "bacterial SSU rRNA". It matches the Rfam family "Bacterial small subunit ribosomal RNA", at positions 335 to 803 of the family's 1533-position model. The record is from RNAcentral.